ACAGGCCUGAGAGGGGCCUGCCUGUGUCAGGCGAAGAAUAGCUGGCCGACUGCCUGCCCUGCCUCAUUAUCUGACAUCUAAUUCCUUCUUAUCGUCCUGCUGGGAGAUAAAGCGGCUGCUGUGGAGAGAUGUUGCUGCAGGCUAGAAGUGCUGACUGAGAGUGAGGGAUCAGCCUCGUGCCAGGUGAACAGGCAGCCCAGGCGCCGCCAGCCACGGGGACGGCUUGAAUCCUGAAUGUUGGGCUUGUGAUGAAAGGAAGGAAAACUGCUGAAAAUACCUGAAGAAACAAAGGAGCUAAGCUGUGGGGUAGAGGGGAAGGGGCUGAGCCCGGGCUGAGAAUGGUCUCUGGCCCAUGAAGGAUAUUCCUGGAGUUUUAAGCUGCAAGCAAGAACCAACUGUCCACAAAGAAAUUCUGCAACCUGCUUAAAACAACGUUUAAGUGAUUGGACCCCACUGGUCUGGAAUGCUGCAGAGUCCUUCAGAGGAACAGGUACUUGGCUGACCCAGGAGUAUGUUGGGCUGCAUGGAAGGUAUCAUCAGAACAAGCUUUACUGGAGAAUACCCCAGGUUUGUCUAUGGGAUGGCUUUAUUGUUAGUAAUAUGGGGGUUGUAAUGGAUUAUGUUGUCAUACCAUCAUUUUUUAAAGACAUGUAUAUAACAGAGUGCAUAAGAAUUUGACCAACAAAUAACCUCUUGUAAGGUUUCCGCAUCACAUUUUUAAACAGGAAAGGAAUAUGAU
Mauremys reevesii (Reeves's turtle) is the source of this 739-nucleotide long non-coding RNA. RefSeq lists it as uncharacterized. Lineage: Eukaryota; Metazoa; Chordata; Testudines; Geoemydidae. The record is from RefSeq and is a predicted model, not a curated record. The transcript is spliced from 4 exons.